CCUACGGGAGGCAGCAGUGAGGAAUAUUGGUCAAUGGACGAGAGUCUGAACCAGCCAAGUAGCGUGAAGGAUGACUGCCCUAUGGGUUGUAAACUUCUUUUAUAUGGGAAUAAAAUGUUCCACGUGUGGGAUUUUGUAUGUACCAUAUGAAUAACGAUCGGCUAACUCCGUGCCAGCAGCCGCGGUAAUACGGAGGAUCCGAGCGUUAUCCGGAUUUAUUGGGUUUAAAGGGAGCGUAGGUGGAUUGUUAAGUCAGUUGUGAAAGUUUGCGGCUCAACCGUAAAAGUGCAGUUGAAACUGGCAGUCUUGAGUACAGUAGAGGUGGGCGGAAUGCGGGGUGUAGCGGUGAAAUGCUUAGAUAUCACGAAGAACUCCGAUUGCGAAGGCAGUUCACUGGACUGCAACUGACACUGAGGCUCGAAAGUGUGGGUAUCAAACAGGAUUAGAUACCCGUGUAGUC
This 460-nucleotide ribosomal RNA is filed under the name uncultured bacterium. RNAcentral's name for it is "partial 16S ribosomal RNA". It matches the Rfam family "Bacterial small subunit ribosomal RNA", at positions 338 to 795 of the family's 1533-position model. The record is from RNAcentral.